This 404-nucleotide unclassified non-coding RNA is filed under the name soil metagenome. RNAcentral's name for it is "partial contains 5.8S ribosomal RNA, internal transcribed spacer 2, and large subunit ribosomal RNA". The stretch from base 1 to 122 matches the Rfam family "5.8S ribosomal RNA", at positions 35 to 154 of the family's 154-position model. The record is from RNAcentral.
GAUGAAGAACGUAGCGAAAUGCGAUACUUGGUGUGAAUUGCAGAAUCCCGUGAACCAUCGAGUCUUUGAACGCAAGUUGCGCCUCAAGCCAUUAGGUUGAGGGCACGUCUGCCUGGGCGUCACAUAUCGUUGCCUGAUGCCAGUUUCCUCGUGAUGGGUGACUGUGCAGGGCGAAUGAUGGCUUCCCGUGAGCAUUGUUGCCUCAUGGUUGGUUGAAAAUUGAGUGCAUGGUGUCGGGUGUACCAUGAUGGAUGGUGGUUGAGUGAUGAUGCUCGAGACCAAUCAUGGGUAACUCCACCAGAAUUGGGCUCGGUGACCCACAUGCGUCCCUUGGAUGCUCCCUAAGGAGACCUCAGGUCAGGCGGGGCUACCCGCUGAGUUUAAGCAUAUCAAUAAGCGGAGGA